Molecule: ribosomal RNA, 522 nt
Filed under: Rhynchophorus ferrugineus (red palm weevil)
Lineage: Eukaryota; Metazoa; Arthropoda; Insecta; Coleoptera; Curculionidae
Description: eukaryotic LSU rRNA
Rfam family: 5.8S ribosomal RNA (bases 1-106)
Source: RNAcentral
UAAUUGCGCGUCAACUUGUGAACUGCAGGACACAUGAACAUCGACAUUUCGAACGCACAUUGCGGUCCUGGGAUCUCAUACCCGGACCACUCCUGGCUGAGGGUCGUAUCUCAUUUCAAGACUGCUCGGAUUUUCUUUGAUCUUCGCGAUCGACGAGAAAUGUCUGAGCGUGCUGAGCGUAUAAGCGCGAUUCGAUCGCGACGUUCUAAAACGUGACAGCGGACCCGUACGUGUGACCUAACUCUCUCGUACGGGUCGUACGAAUAUGAAAGGGAUGAGACGUGUUUAAAACGGUCGUUCGCACGUUUUUGUGAUAAACGUAGCGCGCACCAUUAAUACGAUCGUCGUAUCCGAUAAAAUUAGUUUUUAAUCGACGUCGGAUCGUAGGUGCGUUGUCUCUCGAAUACGAGGGAGAAAACACCGUUUUUCGACGGCGCGUCUUUUCCAUUCUAAACUUUUAUAUUUCGUAUUGGCUCCUAAUCUUCAUUAUUAUGAUGAUUACGAGCGCCACGCAUAUUAAAC